UCAUUGUGUUUGAAAUUUUCACGCUUCAAACAAGUCGCUCUGUUUCUGCUGCUACUUUUUCAUUUCUCGAUUAAAUUUUCAAAAGGCCCUAUCUGCAUAGGAAACCCAUGAGGGAUAGGUUGUUUUGAAAAUUUAAUCUAGAUUUAUAAUCAGUUAAUUUGCCAAUAAACGCAGAAAAUUUGGUGAAAAUGUGAAAAAAAGCUUGCUGCUCUUCCCGCUGGCCCUGCGGAAGGCUAAUUUGGCUGAGAUUUUACAAGUUAGCCAUCUCCUAGUGGACUGAAUCAACUGGAACCGGCCCUCAAUGUUCUCCGCCGUGAAAUCAUUUUGUUUCUUCGAAACAGGUUCAUCAAUCAACUCGGGAGUGCGAGAGCUCGAGCCUCGUUGCCGAGCCAUGGAUGGCGCCGCGAAAGUUCUCAAUUCUUGAAUGUUCUGCCCUGAAGGAUGCCCAACACAGGAAAAGAAAAUAAUUUGGAAAUAAAUAAUGCUGUGUGGAAA
Molecule: long non-coding RNA, 495 nt
Organism: Culex pipiens pallens (northern house mosquito)
Lineage: Eukaryota; Metazoa; Arthropoda; Insecta; Diptera; Culicidae
Exons: 2
Source: RefSeq, a predicted model, not a curated record